AAAGCCGUCAAGAAAAGCUGCUAUUGUUUCAUUAUGGCCCGUACCGUAAACCGACACAGGUGGAUGGGGAGAGAAUCCUAAGGCCGGCGGAAGAAGUAUUGUUAAGGAACUCGGCAAAAUGACCCCGUAACUUCGGGAGAAGGGGUGCCUGCGAGAGCAGGCCGCAGAGAAGAGGCCCAAGCAACUGUUUAGCAAAAACACAGGUCUAUGCAAAACCGAAAGGUGAGGUAUAUGGGCUGACGCCUGCCCGGUGCUGGAAGGUUAAGGGGAGUGGUCAGGAAACGAAGCCACGAACUUAAGCCCCAGUAAACGGCGGCCGUAACAAUAACGGUCCUAAGGUAGCGAAAUUCCUUGUCGGGUAAGUUCCGACCCGCACGAAAGGCGUAAUGAUUUGGGCGCUGUCUCGACAAUACAUCCGGUGAAAUUGAAGUGCCAGUGAAGAUGCUGGCUACCUGCGCCAGGACGGAAAGACCCCAUGGAGCUUUACUCCAGCUUGAUACUGGGACCCGGUAUUGCAUGUACAGGAUAGGUGGGAGGCUAGGAAAUGUGGACGCCAGUCUGCAUGGAGCCGCUGUUGGGAUACCACCCUUGUGGUGCUGGGUUUCUAACCAGAGGCCGUGAACCGGUCUGGGGACAAUGUCAGGUGGGGAGUUUGACUGGGGCGGUCGCCUCCGAAAGGGUAUCGGAGGCGCCCAAAGGUUCCCUCAGAAUGGUUGGAAACCAUUCGAAGAGUGCAAAGGCAGAAGGGAGCUUGACUGCGACACCGACGGGUGGAGCAGGUACGAAAGUAGGGCUUAGUGAUCCGGUGGAAUUUAAGUGGGAAUGCCAUCGUUCAACGGAUAAAAGCUACCCUGGGAUAACAGGCUGAUCACUCCCAAGAGUUCACAUCGACGGAGUGGUUUGGCACCUCGAUGUCGGCUCAUCGCAUCCUGGGGCUGAAGUCGGUCCCAAGGGUUGGGCUGUUCGCCCAUUAAAGCGGUACGCGAGCUGGGUUCAGAACGUCGUGAGACAGUUCGGUCCCUAUCCGGCGUGGGCGUAGGAUAUCUGAGAGGAGCUGUCCUUAGUACGAGAGGACCGGGAUGGACUGACCUCUGGUGUACCGGUUGGCGAUCAACGCCACGGCCGGGUAGCCAUGUCGGGACGGGAUAAACGCUGAAGGCAUCUAAGCGUGAAGCCCCCCUCAAGAUGAGAUAUCCCAUCGUAAGAGUAAGACCCCUUGAAGACGACGAGGUUGAUAGGGCAGGGGUGGAAGUGCCGUAAGGCAUGGAGCUGACUGCUACUAAUCGGUCGAGGGCUUGACC
Molecule: ribosomal RNA, 1301 nt
Filed under: metagenome
Description: bacterial LSU rRNA
Rfam family: Bacterial large subunit ribosomal RNA
Source: RNAcentral